RNAcentral lists this ribosomal RNA (819 nucleotides) under uncultured Actinomycetes bacterium. RNAcentral describes it as "bacterial SSU rRNA". It matches the Rfam family "Bacterial small subunit ribosomal RNA", at positions 335 to 1167 of the family's 1533-position model. The record is from RNAcentral. Lineage: Bacteria; Bacillati; Actinomycetota; Actinomycetes.
ACUCCUACGGGAGGCAGCAGUGGGGAAUAUUGCACAAUGGGCGCAAGCCUGAUGCAGCAACGCCGCGUGAGGGACGACGGCCUUCGGGUUGUAAACCUCUUUUAGUAGGGAAGAAGCGAAAGUGACGGUACCUGCAGAAAAAGCACCGGCUAACUACGUGCCAGCAGCCGCGGUAAUACGUAGGGUGCAAGCGUUAUCCGGAAUUAUUGGGCGUAAAGAGCUCGUAGGCGGUUUGUCGCGUCUGCUGUGAAAACUGGAGGCUCAACCUCCAGCCUGCAGUGGGUACGGGCAGACUAGAGUGCGGUAGGGGAGAUUGGAAUUCCUGGUGUAGCGGUGGAAUGCGCAGAUAUCAGGAGGAACACCAAUGGCGAAGGCAGAUCUCUGGGCCGUAACUGACGCUGAGGAGCGAAAGCAUGGGGAGCGAACAGGAUUAGAUACCCUGGUAGUCCAUGCCGUAAACGUUGGGAACUAGAUGUAGGGACCAUUCCACGGUUUCUGUGUCGCAGCUAACGCAUUAAGUUCCCCGCCUGGGGAGUACGGCCGCAAGGCUAAAACUCAAAGGAAUUGACGGGGGCCCGCACAAGCGGCGGAGCAUGCGGAUUAAUUCGAUGCAACGCGAAGAACCUUACCAAGGCUUGACAUAUACCGGAAAUGGCUGGAAACAGUCCCCCCGCAAGGUCGGUAUACAGGUGGUGCAUGGUUGUCGUCAGCUCGUGUCGUGAGAUGUUGGGUUAAGUCCCGCAACGAGCGCAACCCUCGUUCUAUGUUGCCAGCACGUAAUGGUGGGAACUCAUAGGAGACUGCCGGGGUCAACUCGGA